UACGUAGGGUGCAAGCGUUGUCCGGAAUUAUUGGGCGUAAAGAGCUCGUAGGCGGCUUGUCGCGUCGGCUGUGAAAACCCGCGGCUCAACUGUGGGCGGGCAGCUGAUACGGGCAGGCUGGAGUUCGGUAGGGGAGACUGGAAUUCCUGGUGUAGCGGUGAAAUGCGCAGAUAUCAGGAGGAACACCGGUGGCGAAGGCGGAUCUCUGGGCCGAUACUGACGCUGAGGAGCGAAAGCGUGGGGAGCGAACAGG
Molecule: ribosomal RNA, 253 nt
Filed under: uncultured bacterium
Lineage: Bacteria
Description: partial 16S ribosomal RNA
Rfam family: Bacterial small subunit ribosomal RNA
Source: RNAcentral